This 485-nucleotide ribosomal RNA is filed under the name uncultured bacterium. RNAcentral describes it as "bacterial SSU rRNA". It matches the Rfam family "Bacterial small subunit ribosomal RNA", at positions 19 to 518 of the family's 1533-position model. The record is from RNAcentral.
AUGGCUCAGGACGAACGCUGGCGGCACGCUUAACACAUGCAAGUCGAACGGAGUUAUCGAGAGCUUGCUUUGAUAACUUAGUGGCGGACGGGUGAGUAACACGUGAGCAAUCUGCCCUUAAGAGGGGGAUAGCAGUUGGAAACGACUGAUAAUACCGCAUAAGAUAGUAGUACCGCAUGGUACAGCUAUAAAAGAUUUAUCGCUUAAGGAUGAGCUCGCGUCUGAUUAGCUAGUUGGUGAGGUAACGGCUCACCAAGGCAACGAUCAGUAGCCGGACUGAGAGGUUGGACGGCCACAUUGGGACUGAGACACGGCCCAGACUCCUACGGGAGGCAGCAGUGGGGAAUAUCGCACAAUGGAGGAAACUCUGAUGCAGCGAUGCCGCGUGAGGGAAGAAGGUUUUAGGAUUGUAAACCUCUGUUGACAGGGACGAUAAUGACGGUACCUGUUGAGGAAGCUCCGGCUAACCACGUGCCAGCAGCCGC